GGGCGCUUGGUCUAGAGGCAUGAUUUUCGCUUCGCAUAUUGUUCUAAGAACAGCGCGUCUGUGAAAGGUCGUGGGUUCAAUUCCCACAGUGUCCA
RNAcentral lists this transfer RNA (95 nucleotides) under Eutypa lata. Its description in RNAcentral is "tRNA-Ala". It matches the Rfam family "tRNA". From Rfam's summary of the family: Transfer RNA (tRNA) molecules are approximately 80 nucleotides in length. Their secondary structure includes four short double-helical elements and three loops (D, anti-codon, and T loops). Further hydrogen bonds mediate the characteristic L-shaped molecular structure. tRNAs have two regions of fundamental functional importance: the anti-codon, which is responsible for specific mRNA codon recognition, and the 3' end, to which the tRNAs corresponding amino acid is attached (by aminoacyl-tRNA synthetases). tRNAs cope with the degeneracy of the genetic code in two manners: having more than one tRNA (with a specific anti-codon) for a particular amino acid; and 'wobble' base-pairing, i.e. permitting non-standard base-pairing at the 3rd anti-codon position. The record is from RNAcentral. RNAcentral also lists the same sequence under 1 other name. Lineage: Eukaryota; Fungi; Ascomycota; Sordariomycetes; Xylariales; Diatrypaceae.